Molecule: ribosomal RNA, 424 nt
Filed under: uncultured bacterium
Lineage: Bacteria
Description: partial 16S ribosomal RNA
Rfam family: Bacterial small subunit ribosomal RNA
Source: RNAcentral
AAUCUUGGACAAUGGGCGCAAGCCUGAUCCAGCCAUGCCGCGUGAGUGAAGAAGGUCUUCGGGUUGUAAAGCUCUUUCGGAUGGGAGGAAGUCUCGGAGAUUAAUACCCUGCGAUUAUGACGUUACCGCCAGAAUAAGCACCGGCUAACUACGUGCCAGCAGCCGCGGUAAUACGCAGGGUGCGAACGUUAAUCGGAAUUACUGGGCGUAAAGCGCGCGGAGGUGGUUGGUUAAGACGGGAGUGAAAUCCCCGGGCUCAACCUGGGAAUUGCGUUUGUGACUGGUCAGCUAGAGUACGGCAGAGGGUGGUGGAAUUCCAUGUGUAGCAGUGAAAUGCGUAGAUAUAGGAAGGAACACCAGUGGCGAAGGCGACCCCCUGGGCUGAUACUGACACUGAUGUACGAAAGCGUGGGUAGCAAACAGG